RNAcentral lists this ribosomal RNA (377 nucleotides) under uncultured eukaryote. RNAcentral describes it as "partial 18S ribosomal RNA". It matches the Rfam family "Eukaryotic small subunit ribosomal RNA", at positions 592 to 976 of the family's 1831-position model. The record is from RNAcentral.
CAAUAGCGUAUAUUUAAGUUGCUGCAGUUAAAAAGCUCGUAGUUGGAUUUCGGGUGGGAAUGGCCGGUCCGCCGUUUCGGUGUGCACUUGCUACGCCCACCUUGCUGCCGGGGACGUGCUCUUGAGUUCACGCUCGGGACACGGAGUCGGCGAGGUUACUUUGAGUAAAUUAGAGUGUUCAAAGCAGGCCUACGUUCUGAAUACAUUAGCAUGGAACAACACGAUAGGACUCUGGCCUAUCUUGUUGGUCUGUAGGACCGGAGUAAUGAUUAAGAGGGACAGUCGGGGGCAUUCGUAUUUCAUUGUCAGAGGUGAAAUUCUUGGAUUUAUGAAAGACGAACUACUGCGAAAGCAUUUGCCAAGGAUGUUUCCAUUAA